GGGUUGUGAGGUUAAGCGACUAAGCGUACACGGUGGAUGCCCUGGCAGUCAGAGGCGAUGAAGGACGUGCUAAUCUGCGAAAAGCGUCGGUAAGGUGAUAUGAACCGUUACAGCCGGCGAUGUCCGAAUGGGGAAACCCAGUGCAAUUCGUUGCACUAUCGUUAACUGAAUACAUAGGUUAACGAGGCGAACCGGGGGAACUGAAACAUCUAAGUACCCCGAGGAAAAGAAAUCAACCGAGAUUCCCCCAGUAGCGGCGAGCGAACGGGGAGCAGCCCAGAGUCUGAAUCAGCUUGUGUGUUAGUGGAACGGUCUGGAAAGUCCGACGGUACAGGGUGAUAGUCCCGUACACCAAAAUGCACAGGCUGUGAACUCGAAGAGUAGGGCGGGACACGUGGUAUCCUGUCUGAAUAUGGGGGGACCAUCCUCCAAGGCUAAAUACUCCUGACUGACCGAUAGUGAACCAGUACCGUGAGGGAAAGGCGAAAAGAACCCCGGCGAGGGGAGUGAAAAAGAACCUGAAACCGUGUACGUACAAGCAGUGGGAGCACCUUCGGGUGUGACUGCGUACCUUUUGUAUAAUGGGUCAGCGACUUAUAUUCUGUAGCAAGGUUAACCGUAUAGGGGAGCCGCAGGGAAACCGAGUCUUAACUGGGCGUUAAGUUGCAGGGUAUAGACCCGAAACCCGGUGAUCUAGCCAUGGGCAGGUUGAAGGUUGGGUAACACUAACUGGAGGACCGAACCGACUAAUGUUGAAAAAUUAGCGGAUGACUUGUGGCUGGGGGUGAAAGGCCAAUCAAACCGGGAGAUAGCUGGUUCUCCCCGAAAGCUAUUUAGGUAGCGCCUCGUGAAUUCAUCUUCGGGGGUAGAGCACUGUUUCGGCUAGGGGGUCAUCCCGACUUACCAACCCGAUGCAAACUACGAAUACCGAAGAAUGUUAUCACGGGAGACACACGGCGGGUGCUAACGUCCGUCGUGAAGAGGGAAACAACCCAGACCGCCAGCUAAGGUCCCAAAGUCAUGGUUAAGUGGGAAACGAUGUGGGAAGGCACAGACAGCCGUGAUGUUGGCUUAGAAGCAGCCAUCAUUUAAAGAAAGCGUAAUAGCUCACUGGUCGAGUCGGCCUGCGCGGAAGAUGUAACGGGCUAAACCAUGCACCGAAGCUGCGGCAGCGACACUAUGUGUUGUUGGGUAGGGGAGCGUUCUGUAAGCCUGCGAAGGUGACCUGUGAGGGUUGCUGGAGGUAUCAGAAGUGCGAAUGCUGACAUAAGUAACGAUAAAGCGGGUGAAAAGCCCGCUCGCCGGAAGACCAAGGGUUCCUGUCCAACGUUAAUCGGGGCAGGGUGAGUCGACCCUAAGGCGAGGCCGAAAGGCGUAGUCGAUGGGAAACAGGUUAAUAUUCCUGUACUUGGUGUUACUGCGAAGGGGACGGAGAAGGCUAUGUUAGCCGGGCGACGGUUGUCCCGGUUUAAGCAUGUAGGCUGAUUGUCCAGGCAAAUCCGGAUAAUCAAGGCUGAGGUGUGAUGACGAGGCACUACGGUGCUGAAGUAACAAAUGCCCUGCUUCCAGGAAAAGCCUCUAAGCAUCAGGUAACAUUAAAUCGUACCCCAAACCGACACAGGUGGUCAGGUAGAGAAUACCAAGGCGCUUGAGAGAACUCGGGUGAAGGAACUAGGCAAAAUGGUGCCGUAACUUCGGGAGAAGGCACGCUGGUGUGUAGGUGAAGUCCCUGCGGAUGGAGCUGAGACCAGUCGAAGAUACCAGCUGGCUGCAACUGUUUAUUAAAAACACAGCACUGUGCAAACACGAAAGUGGACGUAUACGGUGUGACGCCUGCCCGGUGCCGGAAGGUUAAUUGAUGGGGUUAUCCGUAAGGAGAAGCUCUUGAUCGAAGCCCCGGUAAACGGCGGCCGUAACUAUAACGGUCCUAAGGUAGCGAAAUUCCUUGUCGGGUAAGUUCCGACCUGCACGAAUGGCGUAAUGAUGGCCAGGCUGUCUCCACCCGAGACUCAGUGAAAUUGAACUCGCUGUGAAGAUGCAGUGUACCCGCGGCAAGACGGAAAGACCCCGUGAACCUUUACUAUAGCUUGACACUGAACAUUGAGCCUUGAUGUGUAGGAUAGGUGGGAGGCUUUGAAGCGUGGACGCCAGUCUGCGUGGAGCCAACCUUGAAAUACCACCCUUUAAUGUUUGAUGUUCUAACGUUGGCCCCUGACCGGGGUUGCGGACAGUGUCUGGUGGGUAGUUUGACUGGGGCGGUCUCCUCCCAAAGCGUAACGGAGGAGCACGAAGGUUAGCUAAUCCUGGUCGGACAUCAGGAGGUUAGUGCAAUGGCAUAAGCUAGCUUGACUGCGAGCGUGACGGCGCGAGCAGGUGCGAAAGCAGGUCAUAGUGAUCCGGUGGUUCUGAAUGGAAGGGCCAUCGCUCAACGGAUAAAAGGUACCCGGGGAUAACAGGCUGAUACCGCCCAAGAGUUCAUAUCGACGGCGGUGUUUGGCACCUCGAUGUCGGCUCAUCACAUCCUGGGGCUGAAGUAGGUCCCAAGGGUAUGGCUGUUCGCCAUUUAAAGUGGUACGCGAGCUGGGUUUAGAACGUCGUGAGACAGUUCGGUCCCUAUCUGCCGUGGGCGCUGGAGAAUUGAGGGGGGCUGCUCCUAGUACGAGAGGACCGGAGUGGACGCAUCACUGGUGUUCGGGUUGUCAUGCCAAUGGCACUGCCCGGUAGCUAAAUGCGGAAGAGAUAAGUGCUGAAAGCAUCUAAGCACGAAACUUGCCCCGAGAUGAGUUCUCCCUGAGACUUUAAGUCUCCUGAAGGAACGUUAAAGACGAUGACGUUGAUAGGCCGGGUGUGUAAGCGCAGCGAUGCGUUGAGCUAACCGGUACUAAUGAACCGUGAGGCUUAACCUUACAACGCCGAAG
This 2918-nucleotide ribosomal RNA is filed under the name Klebsiella pneumoniae. Its description in RNAcentral is "23S ribosomal RNA". It matches the Rfam family "Bacterial large subunit ribosomal RNA". Lineage: Bacteria; Pseudomonadati; Pseudomonadota; Gammaproteobacteria; Enterobacterales; Enterobacteriaceae. The record is from RNAcentral.